Molecule: unclassified non-coding RNA, 195 nt
Filed under: uncultured fungus
Lineage: Eukaryota; Fungi
Description: sequence contains ITS1
Source: RNAcentral
GUAUAUGUUUUAUAGGCACAACAUUCUAUUAACAUACAUUGGGGUAAAUGAAGCAACAUAGACCUGAGAGGUCUACAAAAAGUGCACAGGUGGAGAUAUAAAGAUGACAAGGCGUGCACAUGCUCCCUAGAGAACCAGCAACAACCCAUCAGGUUUAUUUCAAUAAUGAUCCUUCCGCAGGUUCACCUACGGAAA